RNAcentral lists this ribosomal RNA (253 nucleotides) under uncultured bacterium. RNAcentral's name for it is "partial 16S ribosomal RNA". It matches the Rfam family "Bacterial small subunit ribosomal RNA", at positions 524 to 776 of the family's 1533-position model. The record is from RNAcentral.
UACGUAGGGUGCAAGCGUUAUCCGGAAUUAUUGGGCGUAAAGAGCUCGUAGGUGGUUUGUCGCGUUGUUCGUGAAAUCUCACGGCUUAACUGUGAGCGUGCGGGCGAUACGGGCAGACUGGAGUACUGCAGGGGAGACUGGAAUUCCUGGUGUAGCGGUGGAAUGCGCAGAUAUCAGGAGGAACACCGGUGGCGAAGGCGGGUCUCUGGGCAGUAACUGACGCUGAGGAGCGAAAGCGUGGGGAGCGAACAGG